CCUACGGGAGGCAGCAGUAGGGAAUAUUGCUCAAUGGGGGAAACCCUGAAGCAGCAACGCCGCGUGGAGGAUGAAGGUUUUCGGAUUGUAAACUCCUUUUGUUAGAGAAGAUAAUGACGGUAUCUAACGAAUAAGCACCGGCUAACUCCGUGCCAGCAGCCGCGGUAAUACGGAGGGUGCAAGCGUUACUCGGAAUCACUGGGCGUAAAGAGCGCGUAGGCGGGAUAGCAAGUCAGAUGUGAAAUCCUAGGGCUUAACCAUAGAACUGCAUUUGAAACUGUUAUUCUAGAGUAUGGGAGAGGUAGGUGGAAUUCUUGGUGUAGGGGUAAAAUCCGUAGAGAUCAAGAGGAAUACUCAUGGCGAAGGCGACCUGCUAGAACAUAACUGACGCUGAUGCGCGAAAGCGUGGGGAGCAAACAGGAUUAGAUACCCGGGUAGUC
RNAcentral lists this ribosomal RNA (440 nucleotides) under uncultured bacterium. Its description in RNAcentral is "partial 16S ribosomal RNA". It matches the Rfam family "Bacterial small subunit ribosomal RNA", at positions 338 to 795 of the family's 1533-position model. The record is from RNAcentral.